This 83-nucleotide transfer RNA is filed under the name bacterium. RNAcentral's name for it is "tRNA-Leu". It matches the Rfam family "tRNA". Rfam says of the family: Transfer RNA (tRNA) molecules are approximately 80 nucleotides in length. Their secondary structure includes four short double-helical elements and three loops (D, anti-codon, and T loops). The record is from RNAcentral.
GGGCGAGUGGCGGAAUUGGUUAUACGCGCACGACUCAAAACCGUGUCCCGCAAGGGGUGAGGGUUCGAUUCCCUCCUCGCCCA